Molecule: ribosomal RNA, 254 nt
Filed under: uncultured bacterium
Lineage: Bacteria
Description: partial 16S ribosomal RNA
Rfam family: Bacterial small subunit ribosomal RNA
Source: RNAcentral
UACGUAGGGUCCAAGCGUUGUCCGGAUUUAUUGGGCGUAAAGAGCUCGUAGGCGGCUCAGUAAGUCGGAUGUGAAAACUCGGGGUUCAACCCCGAGACGCCAUCCGAUACUGCUGUGGCUUGAGUUUGGUAGGGGAGCACGGAAUUCCUGGUGUAGCGGUGAAAUGCGUAGAUAUCUGGAGGAACACCGGUGGCGAAGGCGGCAUCCUGGACCGGCAUUGACGCUGAGGCGCGAAAGCCAGGGGAGCAAACGGG